Molecule: non-coding RNA, 1452 nt
Organism: Phoenix dactylifera (date palm)
Lineage: Eukaryota; Viridiplantae; Streptophyta; Magnoliopsida; Arecales; Arecaceae
Source: RefSeq, a predicted model, not a curated record
AUUCGACUCAGGUUAAAACCUGGACCAAUACUUUGCAACUUAAUAAAAACAAUCAAGAACGGUUUUAGGGAAGGGCCGUUUUGAUGGUGAUAACGGCGUAACUGAUAAGCCUGUUUAGCCAGGCCCCCUUUCCUCAGAUCGAGUCCGGCACCACCGUCCUCUCCCUCUCCGCGCCGCUCAACGGCGGAACUGCCGCCUCCACCACCCGGAGGCAGUCGUGGGGGCCUCCAUGGUAGCCGAUCGCGACGACGUCGGGAGAGCACCGGCGGCUCCGCUCUUCUCCUGAAAAGACGAAAAGAGGUCUAUAUGUCCGUGUUGGAAUAAAUUGGAAUACCUUGGUGAGCUUAAUAUCUCUAAUGUUCUACUUUAGAUCGAGACCCAAUGGAAGCAAGGCAUCAUUAUUAGGUGCUAGCCAGGCACGGUGCAUUUCUACUCAUACCAGGCCUCCUAUUCAAAGCAAGACUUAACACUCGUCUUUUAUGCUAAAAGAAACUAAUUAUGAGAUGUAGAAAUAUCACUUCAUCAAGUAGGGAGAGGAAUAAAAUUUUGUGGUUAACUGCUAUAAAGCGGCCCAAUUUAAGUGCCACAACAAAUUUGAUUGUGGAGGUCACUGCUUCCAGCUCCAAAACUUCAGAAAAAGUUGAUUGUGAAGGAGAAGGCAUUUGCAAUGCUGAUAUGGUUUGCAACAGCACAUGAUGAUAACAUUAUUAAAAAUCAUUCACAGGCAAAGAUCAUGUCCCACUAUGAAGAUAUCUUCUGGCUAAGAUGAACGUAGAAAAUUAAGAUUUCAUACCUCUGCUAUGUGGAAGUUUUGCAAAGUCGAGUCUGAGAGGUGCAGUCAGGAAGACCAUUUCGAAGCAAAACUUCUGGAGACAAUGGUGGUGUAGAUAUGGACAAGUAUAUAAUUUCGGGAUCAGAUGCUGAAGCCUGCGCAGAGCUACUGUUAUUUUCAUGGCCAGAAUGGGUAUGAAGGCUUACCUGUCCAAUUUGUUCAGGAUCGCCACCAGUGCUGGUGAUGCCCUUUUGAAGCAUGCCAUCCUCCUUACGGCCUCCGAGAGUCCAUGGAGAAUUCUAUAUAAAGAUAUGCUGAGCGGGACGUCAUUGUUGCUUGUGUCAAGGGCUGUUUGAAUUUUAAAUUGGCAAAAAGACUGAGGCAGCUCGAGUCGAGUUCCCAAGCUAAAGAUACUCUGAGCAUGACAAGAGGCUUGGUGGUGCCUCACCAUGCCCAGGAUUGAUUCUUGCAAUCUUCUAAGCUUAGGAUGCUUUAGUUAAAGAGCUCCAGAUGGAAACCUUUACGAACUUGAAUUCAAGCUCAUUAUUGCCUCUGUUGCUGCGACCAUGAUGCAUUGUGCAAUUCUCUUUUAAUUCUGGUGCCAAAGUUAUUGAUUUAUCGAUCACUACAAAGCCAAAUACUACCGAAACUUGUUCUCCUCGUUAUGACCUUUCAGAUUA